RNAcentral lists this ribosomal RNA (200 nucleotides) under uncultured bacterium. Its description in RNAcentral is "partial 16S ribosomal RNA". It matches the Rfam family "Bacterial small subunit ribosomal RNA", at positions 335 to 527 of the family's 1533-position model. The record is from RNAcentral.
ACUCCUACGGGAGGCAGCAGUGGGGAAUAUUGCACAAUGGGGGAAACCCUGAUGCAGCCAUGCCGCGUGUGUGAAGAAGGCCUUCGGGUUGUAAAGCACUUUCAGCGAGGAGGAAAGGUUGGUAGCUAAUAACUGCCAGCUGUGACGUUACUCGCAGAAGAAGCACCGGCUAACUCCGUGCCAGCAGCCGCGGUAAUACA